This 567-nucleotide small RNA is filed under the name Pan troglodytes (chimpanzee). RNAcentral describes it as "retained intron". The record is from RNAcentral. Lineage: Eukaryota; Metazoa; Chordata; Mammalia; Primates; Hominidae.
UUUUCGCUGAAAUUUUGCCAGAUCCUGAAGAUCUUCGUGGACAAUCUCUUUGCUAUCGUCCUGCUGAAGCAGGCCACAGCUGUGCGCUGCUUGGACAUGAGUGCCUCCCGUAAGAAGCUGGCCGUGGUAGAUGAAAAUGACACUUGCCUGGUGUAUGACAUCGACACCAAGGAGCUGCUUUUUCAGGAACCAAACGCCAACAGUGUGGCCUGGAACACCCAGUGUGAGGACAUGCUCUGCUUCUCGGGAGGAGGCUACCUCAACAUCAAAGCCAGCACCUUCCCUGUGCACCGGCAGAAGCUGCAGGGCUUUGUGGUCGGCUACAAUGGCUCCAAGAUCUUCUGCCUCCAUGUCUUCUCCAUUUCUGCUGUGGAGGUGCCGCAGUCCGCUCCCAUGUACCAGUACCUGGAUAGGAAACUGUUCAAGGAAGCCUACCAGAUUGCUUGCUUGGGUGUCACAGACACUGAUUGGCGUGAACUGGCCAUGGAAGCGCUAGAAGGUUUAGAUUUUGAAACAGCAAAGAAGGAGAGGAAGAAGCGGGGAGAGACCAACAAUGACCUGUUUCUG